AAGAUUUUAGUUUAGAAAAACGUUGGAUUGUCAGACCAAAGACAUAGGUUAAUUCCUAUAUUUCUUG
RNAcentral lists this transfer RNA (67 nucleotides) under Cercodemas anceps. RNAcentral's name for it is "tRNA-Asp". It matches the Rfam family "tRNA". From Rfam's summary of the family: Transfer RNA (tRNA) molecules are approximately 80 nucleotides in length. Their secondary structure includes four short double-helical elements and three loops (D, anti-codon, and T loops). The record is from RNAcentral. Lineage: Eukaryota; Metazoa; Echinodermata; Holothuroidea; Dendrochirotida; Cucumariidae.